This 285-nucleotide ribosomal RNA is filed under the name Escherichia coli. RNAcentral describes it as "partial 16S ribosomal RNA". It matches the Rfam family "Bacterial small subunit ribosomal RNA", at positions 512 to 796 of the family's 1533-position model. Lineage: Bacteria; Pseudomonadati; Pseudomonadota; Gammaproteobacteria; Enterobacterales; Enterobacteriaceae. The record is from RNAcentral.
CAGCCGCGGUAAUACGUAGGGUGCGAGCGUUGUCCGGAAUUACUGGGCGUAAAGAGCUCGUAGGCGGUUUGUCACGUCGUCUGUGAAAUCCUAGGGCUUAACCCUGGACGUGCAGGCGAUACGGGCUGACUUGAGUACUACAGGGGAGACUGGAAUUUCUGGUGUAGCGGUGGAAUGCACAGAUAUCAGGAAGAACACCGAUGGCGAAGGCAGGUCUCUGGGUAGUAACUGACGCUGAGGAGCGAAAGCAUGGGUAGCGAACAGGAUUAGAUACCCUUGUAGUCC